This 436-nucleotide ribosomal RNA is filed under the name uncultured bacterium. RNAcentral describes it as "bacterial SSU rRNA". It matches the Rfam family "Bacterial small subunit ribosomal RNA", at positions 28 to 508 of the family's 1533-position model. The record is from RNAcentral.
AACGAACGCUGGCGGCGCGCCUAACACAUGCAAGUCGCACGGCUCCUUCGGGGGCAGUGGCGGACGGGUGAGUAACGCGUGGGAACCUGCCCUGGAGUUCGGAACAACCGUGGGAAACUGCGGCUAAUACCGAAUACGCCCCGAGGGGGAAAGGAGCGAUCUGCUCCGGGAUGGGCCCGCGUCCGAUUAGCUAGUUGGUGAGGUAACGGCUCACCAAGGCUGCGAUCGGUAGCUGGUUUGAGAGAAUGAUCAGCCACACUGGGACUGAGACACGGCCCAGACUCCUACGGGAGGCAGCAGUGGGGAAUCUUGGACAAUGGGCGCAAGCCUGAUCCAGCGACGCCGCGUGGGUGAUGAAGGCCUUCGGGUUGUAAAGCCCUUUUCCCGGGGACGAUGAUGACGGUACCCGGGGAAUAAGCACCGGCUAACUCCGUGC